GUAGUGUUCAGCUAUGCCUGGCCACGCCCGAACGACCAGUGUAGAAGUUGGAACCAUCCUGAUUUUAUUUCUUGAACCAGAAGAGUACAUUGCAAGCUACCAACGUUUCUCAGAUAAAGAAUAUGACUUCACCGAUUUGGAAUACCACGGAUUAAACUGCAUUUGUUUUUUUGAUACUGAUGACUUUCUUCUGGCUGUUGAUUGGCUCAUUGACACUGGGAUGUCAAUCCUAUUACUGUUGCAUCAACAAUAAGUUAUUGCUGUGGCAUGUACUCGAAAUGACGAGGGGAAGGCGAGGUGAAAAUGGUGCUGAUUUUGAAAAGAAGGAAAUGCUGGAUUGUUGUAGUCUCCAAAUGAAUUUUUUUGGUCCGAGAAAAGGUAGAGGUAUAACUGCCACACACGAUAUAAAAUCAGGAACAUUUCUGCUGCGGUACUCUGGCGAACUCAUUACAAGUGAUGAGGGUGACCGUAGAGGGCUCCAGUACAAAAAAAGGCAACUGGGCAACUAUCUAUAUUUUUUUUCCCACC
Molecule: long non-coding RNA, 528 nt
Organism: Lineus longissimus
Lineage: Eukaryota; Metazoa; Nemertea; Pilidiophora; Heteronemertea; Lineidae
Exons: 3
Source: RefSeq, a predicted model, not a curated record